This 206-nucleotide ribosomal RNA is filed under the name uncultured bacterium. Its description in RNAcentral is "partial 16S ribosomal RNA". It matches the Rfam family "Bacterial small subunit ribosomal RNA", at positions 1295 to 1500 of the family's 1533-position model. The record is from RNAcentral.
GGAUUGUAGUCUGNAACCCGACUACAUGAAGCUGGAAUCGCUAGUAAUCGCAGGUCAGCAUACUGCGGUGAAUACGUUCCCGGGUCUUGUACACACCGCCCGUCACACCAUGGGAGCCGGAAAUGCCCGAAGCCAGUGACCCAACCUUAGGGAGGGAGCUGUCGAAGGUGGAGCCGGUAACUGGGGUGAAGUCGUAACAAGGUAGC